GUCCUCGCCCCUGAAGCUCAAGAACACAUGGUAGCUACAAGGAGAAGCCGAAGAAGACGCUUCAUGUGAUUUUGUAGCAGGCAUUGAAAAACCCCCCAAGAAAAAGACUACUAAAGGAGUCUUCUUGGUCACUGAAAAUCUAGCCCGUUGGAGGUGUCUUGGACAGUGUACUGGCCAAGAUCGAGGUCGCCGGAGCUCUCAUGAAGAGAUGACCGGGAUUUUGAUCGCCACUUCAAAGCCAGAGAGUGAAAUCGAUCCUUGCUUAAAAUCGAAGAGAUCCUAAAAGAAAGAAAAAGACUACAGAGAAGACC
Long non-coding RNA from Rhododendron vialii, 311 nucleotides. RefSeq lists it as uncharacterized. The transcript is spliced from 2 exons. The record is from RefSeq and is a predicted model, not a curated record. NCBI's taxonomy places the organism in Eukaryota, Viridiplantae, Streptophyta, Magnoliopsida, Ericales, Ericaceae.